ACUUUCAACAACGGAUCUCUUGGUUCUGGCAUCGAUGAAGAACGCAGCGAAAUGCGAUAAGUAAUGUGAAUUGCAGAAUUCAGUGAACCAUCGAAUCUUUGAACGCACAUUGCGCCCGCCAGCACUCUGGCGGGCAUGCCUGUCCGAGCGUCA
This 153-nucleotide ribosomal RNA is filed under the name Ophiocordyceps sinensis. Its description in RNAcentral is "5.8S ribosomal RNA". It matches the Rfam family "5.8S ribosomal RNA". Rfam says of the family: 5.8S ribosomal RNA (5.8S rRNA) is a component of the large subunit of the eukaryotic ribosome. The record is from RNAcentral. Lineage: Eukaryota; Fungi; Ascomycota; Sordariomycetes; Hypocreales; Ophiocordycipitaceae.